GUCAAUAUAAAAAUAUGUUAUUCCUCAUCUGUAUUCGAGAGUAGGUAGGCAGAUAGGUAGUACUGGUAACAUAAGGAUAAAAAUAUACAUUAUUUUUUAUCUCUCUUUUCUUCUUACGAUCCAAAUGGUAUGUAACGUAGUUUACGCAGUUUGAAUAAACUCUAUCAAUAUUUCUCGUGUGCAAUGUGUAUCGAUAAUAAAUACGGGUAACAUUAAUUGUCACGUAUAAUUGUUUCUUUGAAAGUUGAAUUUUUUUUCCUGACAUAGAAGUUAGGGGGGUCAGAAUAAUUAGUCGGUGCAGCAUUGUGCUAUCACGUUAAAAGCAGGUGAAGAAGAAGUAGAAGAAGAAGAAGGGCUUGUUUCGAGUCACAAUUUCUUAGUGGUUUUGGUUACUCUUGUAGCGUAGCAGCUUGGGCUGGUUUCCAGCGUUCAGAAAACGAUAAUCUCAACAAAAUUUCGAUACCCUGGAAUGUUUUAGCAGCAACCCCCCUGCAACCGUGAUUACACAAAGCAGCAUGAACACGAUCGAUCAAUAAAAUAUUUUCGGUUUAUUAAUUUUUCUUCUGUUGUCAUUAUUACUUCAUUUCCAUGGCUCUGAAAACGUGUAUCAUGUUUCAGCUGAUUAUGCCAAAUUAUCUAAGUUGUAUAAAUAGUAGAUAAUUGUAUUAUUGUUAUGUACGUACGUACAGCUGGAAAAUAAAAACCACCUUUAAGCGUA
Molecule: long non-coding RNA, 718 nt
Organism: Athalia rosae (coleseed sawfly)
Lineage: Eukaryota; Metazoa; Arthropoda; Insecta; Hymenoptera; Athaliidae
Exons: 3
Source: RefSeq, a predicted model, not a curated record